RNAcentral lists this ribosomal RNA (305 nucleotides) under uncultured bacterium. Its description in RNAcentral is "bacterial SSU rRNA". It matches the Rfam family "Bacterial small subunit ribosomal RNA", at positions 335 to 654 of the family's 1533-position model. The record is from RNAcentral.
CUGCCUACGGGACGCAGCAGUGAGGAAUAUUGGUCAAUGGGCGGGAGCCUGAACCAGCCAAGUCGCGUGAAGGAAGAAGGCCCUCGGGUUGUAAACUUCUUUUAUCAGGGACGAAGGAUGUGACGGUACCUGAUGAAUAAGCUCCGGCUAACUACGUGCCAGCAGCCGCGGUAAUACGUAGGGAGCAAGCGUUAUCCGGAUUUACUGGGUGUAAAGGGCGCGUAGGCGGGAUGGCAAGUCAGAUGUGAAAUCCGGGGGCUCAACCCCUGAACUGCAUUUGAAACUGUCGUUCUUGAGUACUGGAG